UCUACUAUGGAUUUGGAAGUGCUGGAAGAUUUAAAUGGAUUUUGCGUCGACAUCGUCUUUUACUAUAAUAAAAAAGUCUCGAAUAAAGCAUUUGAAUUGACGAUUAUGCAAGGAAAUGAAGUUGUGCGGCGCUUCACACAAAAUGCUGACCCCUCAAACGUACACAAAUGGCUCACAAGGAGGUUUCAAGACAAUUCGAUGGAACUCAAGGAAAAUUGGAAAAUCAGGCUGACGGCCGCAACAGGUCGCGUUGAAAUUGGUGCAAUCAAAUUCUGUGCUGGAGGCGAUUCUAACAUCAUAAAACCGAAAGGGAAAAACAUGGAAAGCUGUCAUUUGUUGGCGGCGAGUGAUCCAAAUCCAACCACAAAGGAAAGAUUGACACAAGUCGCCAACAAUAUGUCCAUUUGUGCUGCACUUGGAGGGAAUUGCUCUGAAUUUUCGGCAUGCCGAGAGAGCGGAGGGUGCGUGUGCUUUGCGGGAUCAACCAGUAAUAAAUGUACUGACUCGACUCCAACUAGUUCUUCAACAUUAAAUAAUGUCCAAACAACAGACCUCCCAGGAGGAACGAACCCCGAAAGCAGUUCGGAAUCGUGCGAGGAGAGAACCGGGAGGAUCCGUAACAUGGUUAUUCUGACGACCAGCUGCAAUAUCGGAAGCUACACCUUUCUCGUUUUCAUGCUUUUCUACUAUCGCCAUUUAAGGAAGCUGCAGGAUUCGAUCCGUUCUUAUCAACACCGGCAAAGAUUACCCACUCCGCCCAACGAGCACGUCCAAGCAGAAACAAGCUUUUCAAUGCAUAGACCGCAUAAUUUAAGAUUCAAUAAACAAAAGUGACAAGUUAGAUUAUUUAAAAUA
Long non-coding RNA from Cloeon dipterum, 855 nucleotides. RefSeq lists it as uncharacterized. NCBI's taxonomy places the organism in Eukaryota, Metazoa, Arthropoda, Insecta, Ephemeroptera, Baetidae. The record is from RefSeq and is a predicted model, not a curated record. The transcript has 3 exons.